GAUGAACGCUGACAGAAUGCUUAACACAUGCAAGUCUUUGGCGAAUCUGUGCUUGCACCGGCUAGCCAAGGCGGACGGGUGAGUAACGCGUAAAGAACUUGCCCUGCAGACAGGGAUAACAGACGGAAACGACUGAUAACACCUGAUACAGUUGCCGGCACGCAUGUGCCUGGCAAUGAAAAGAGAUGCUGCAGGAGAGCUUUGUGUCCUAUUAGCUUGUUGGUGAGGUGACGGCUCACCAAGGCGAUGAUAGGUAGCCGGCCUGAGAGGGUGAACGGCCACAAGGGGACUGAGAUACGGCCCUUACUCCUACGGGAGGCAGCAGUGGGGAAUAUUGGACAAUGGGGGCAACCCUGAUCCAGCAAUUCUGUGUGCACGAAGAAGGUUUUCGGAUUGUAAAGUGCUUUCAGCAGGGAAGAAGAAAGUGACGGUACCUGCAGAAGAAGCGACGGCUAAAUACGUG
This 463-nucleotide ribosomal RNA is filed under the name uncultured bacterium. RNAcentral describes it as "partial 16S ribosomal RNA". It matches the Rfam family "Bacterial small subunit ribosomal RNA", at positions 28 to 507 of the family's 1533-position model. The record is from RNAcentral.